UGGCUCAGUUGGUAGAGCAUGGUGUUUGCAAUGCCAGCAUGGUGUGUGCGACGCCAGGGUUGUGGGUUCGAAUUCCCAC
This is a non-coding RNA of Salmo salar (Atlantic salmon), 79 nucleotides long. The record is from Rfam. NCBI's taxonomy places the organism in Eukaryota, Metazoa, Chordata, Actinopteri, Salmoniformes, Salmonidae.